CCUACGGGAGGCUGCAGUGGGGAAUAUUGGACAAUGGGCGAAAGCCUGAUCCAGCCAUGCCGCGUGUGUGAAGAAGGCCUUCGGGUUGUAAAGCACUUUCAGUGGGGAAGAAAGCCUUGGGGCUAAUACCCUCGAGGAAGGACAUCACCCACAGAAGAAGCACCGGCUAACUCCGUGCCAGCAGCCGCGGUAAUACGGAGGGUGCGAGCGUUAAUCGGAAUUACUGGGCGUAAAGCGCGCGUAGGCGGUCUGAUAAGCCGGUUGUGAAAGCCCCGGGCUCAACCUGGGAACGGCAUCCGGAACUGUCAGGCUAGAGUGCAGGAGAGGAAGGUAGAAUUCCCGGUGUAGCAGUGAAAUGCGUAGAGAUCGGGAGGAAUACCAGUGGCGAAGGCGGCCUUCUGGACUGACACUGACGCUGAGGUGCGAAAGCGUGGGUAGCAAACAGGAUUAGAUCCCCGUGUAGUC
This 465-nucleotide ribosomal RNA is filed under the name Vreelandella stevensii. RNAcentral's name for it is "partial 16S ribosomal RNA". It matches the Rfam family "Bacterial small subunit ribosomal RNA", at positions 338 to 795 of the family's 1533-position model. Lineage: Bacteria; Pseudomonadati; Pseudomonadota; Gammaproteobacteria; Oceanospirillales; Halomonadaceae. The record is from RNAcentral.